GGACGGGAAGCAUCUUAGUGGUGUUCUCAGUGGCGGACGGGUGGGUAACGCGUAAGAACCUGCCCUUGGGAGGGGGACAACAGCUGGAAACGGCUGCUAAUACCCCAUAGGCUGAGGAGCAAAAGGAGGAGAUCCGCCCAAAGAGGGGCUUGCGUCUGAUUAGCUAGUUGGUGAGGCAAUGGCUUACCGAGGCGACGAUCAGUAGCUGGUCUGAGAGGAUGAUCAGCCACACUGGGACUGAGACACGGCCCAGACUCCUACGGGAGGCAGCAGUGGGGAAUUUUCUGCAAUGGGCGAAAGCCUGACAGAGCAAUGCCGCGUGGAGGUAGAAGGUCUACGGGUCGUAAACUCCUUUUAUACGGAGAAGAAACAAUGACGGUAUAUGAGGAAUAAGCAUCGGCUAACUUUGUGCCAGCAGCCGCGGUAAU
RNAcentral lists this ribosomal RNA (428 nucleotides) under uncultured bacterium. RNAcentral's name for it is "bacterial SSU rRNA". It matches the Rfam family "Bacterial small subunit ribosomal RNA", at positions 64 to 524 of the family's 1533-position model. The record is from RNAcentral.